GUGGGGAAUAUUGGACAAUGGGCGAAAGCCUGAUCCAGCAAUGCCGCGUGAGUGAUGAAGGCCUUAGGGUUGUAAAGCUCUUUUACCCGGGAAGAUAAUGACUGUACCGGGAGAAUAAGCCCCGGCUAACUCCGUGCCAGCAGCCGCGGUAAUACGGAGGGGGCUAGCGUUGUUCGGAAUUACUGGGCGUAAAGCGCACGUAGGCGGUUUUGUAAGUUAGAGGUGAAAGCCUGGGGCUCAACCCCAGAAUUGCCUUUAAGACUGCAUCACUUGAACGUCGGAGAGGUGAGUGGAAUUCCGAGUGUAGAGGUGAAAUUCGUAGAUAUUCGGAAGAACACCAGUGGCGAAGGCGGCUCACUGGACGACUGUUGACGCUGAGGUGCGAAAGCGUGGGGAGCAAACAGGAUUAGAUACCCCAGUAGUCC
RNAcentral lists this ribosomal RNA (425 nucleotides) under uncultured bacterium. RNAcentral's name for it is "partial 16S ribosomal RNA". It matches the Rfam family "Bacterial small subunit ribosomal RNA", at positions 354 to 796 of the family's 1533-position model. The record is from RNAcentral.